RNAcentral lists this long non-coding RNA (463 nucleotides) under Homo sapiens (human). RNAcentral describes it as "non-protein coding lnc-CHRNA4-1:1". Lineage: Eukaryota; Metazoa; Chordata; Mammalia; Primates; Hominidae. The record is from RNAcentral.
UGUGUGUGCAUGUGUGUGUGUGUAAGUCACGCAUGCACACAUGUAUGCUUCUGCACAGGUGUAUGUGUGUGGUUGUAUGCACGUGUGGCUCUGCUCUGCCAUGUAUGCACGUGUGUGGGGUGCAUACAUGUGUGUACACAUGUGUGCAUGUGUGUUGGGGAUGGAAUAAUUCUGUUCAGACAUGAAGCUGCAGGGUUCCCGUGGGCCCCACCAGGCAUCAGUUAUGCUACUUGGCACCUUUUCUUCUACCUGCCCUCCUUGGCAUAGGUGUCCCCUAAGUCCACACACGUGCCCACACAUGUGCAGCCUCAGGCACAUACAAACAAGGAUAUACACACGAGUGGGUGUUUAUGUUGCCUGUAAUGGGGACACACGGCUGUUGAGAGUCUCUCCUGCAGUAGGGGACAUGCUCCUGCCUAUCAGGGUCCCCUCCCUCUCCCAGGCCCCCCAACCAAGGCUGUAC